AGUGAACGCUGGCGGUAGGCCUAACACAUGCAAGUCGAACGGCAGCACAGUAAGAGCUUGCCCUUACGGGUGGCGAGUGGCGGACGGGUGAGGAAUACAUCGGAAUCUACUUUUUCGUGGGGGAUAACGUAGGGAAACUUACGCUAAUACCGCAUACGACCUACGGGUGAAAGCAGGGGAUCUUCGGACCUUGCGCGAUUGAAUGAGCCGAUGUCGGAUUAGCUAGUUGGCGGGGUAAAGGCCCACCAAGGCGACGAUCCGUAGCUGGUCUGAGAGGAUGCUCAGCCACACUGGAACUGAGACACGGUCCAGACUCCUACGGGAGGCAGCAGUGGGGAAUAUUGGACAAUGGGCGCAAGCCUGAUCCAGCCAUACCGCGUGGGUGAAGAAGGCCUUCGGGUUGUAAAGCCCUUUUGUUGGGAAAGAAAAGCAGCAGGUUAAUACCCCGCUGUUCUGACGGUACCCAAAGAAUAAGCACCGGCUAACUUCGUG
RNAcentral lists this ribosomal RNA (492 nucleotides) under uncultured bacterium. RNAcentral's name for it is "partial 16S ribosomal RNA". It matches the Rfam family "Bacterial small subunit ribosomal RNA", at positions 29 to 507 of the family's 1533-position model. The record is from RNAcentral.